RNAcentral lists this long non-coding RNA (7544 nucleotides) under Monomorium pharaonis (pharaoh ant). RNAcentral describes it as "uncharacterized LOC105833304, transcript variant X3". Lineage: Eukaryota; Metazoa; Arthropoda; Insecta; Hymenoptera; Formicidae. The record is from RNAcentral.
UCAUUUUUUACUAAAUUCACAUUACGAAAUAAAUAUAUUUUUUUAACAGAAUAAAAAAAGACGAUAGAUUCUUAAAGUACAACUCUUCCUUUUCCCACUGAUCAUCAUUUUAAUUACUUUAUCUAUUUUUUUUUAAUAAAUACCGGCGUUUGAAAAAAAGGCAAAUUUUUACAAAAUUUUUUUGUUCCUUUCUCAUUUUUUUCAAAAAAUCGCGUUUCUUUUAAUGUUUUCGACUUUUCAGCCAAGACCAUUAUAAUUCUGAGAUUUUUUCCUUUUGAUAAAAAAAAAGUUAAAAUUGAUUAAAUACAUUUGGAGAUAUAAGUCAACAAAAUUUUGAGGUUAGCGUAACCCCUGUGCGUAGGAAUCGGGAGAAAAAUAAGGUGUGUAAGCAGAGGGUUAAAAUUACUUGAAAAAAUGAUAAAUGAAAAGUUGAUAUGGAUUGCCGAAAGAAAUAAAUGGAUGAACGAAACGCAAAAUGGUUUCAGAAAGCGAAGAUCAUGCAUAGACGACCUGACGAAACUAAUAGCACACUUACAAUUGGCUAAAGAAAGAGAUACAAAUACUAUAGUAGUUUUCCUUGAUAUAAGAUCUGCAUAUGAUAACGUUAAGGCCCACAUACUAAAUAAGAUAUUAUUGGAGAAAGAGUGCCCCAAGAAAAUAAGAAAAUUCAUUAUGAAAUGGAUGAUAGAAAGACGGACAAAAUUUAUUAUAGAUGCAAAAGAAACCAUAGAAAGAACAAUCAACAAAGGACUCCCGCAAGGAGGCGUUCUAAGCCCCAUCCUUUACAACAUCUACACUGCAAAUAUAACAAGAAACCUUAACAAAGAAAUACAAGUACUACAAUAUGCUGAUGAUAUUGCAAUUACAUAUAGCAACGACGAUCUAAUAAAAUAUCAAAAAAGAAUAGAGAAAGCUAUUGAUACUUUAAAUGAAAAUCUAAAACAAGUAGGCUUGAACUUAGAAUCUGCUAAAACUAAUUUUAUGCUAUUUAACAACAAGAGAAAGAAACGUAAGCAAAUAAGCAUAAAAAUAAGUAACUUGAGAAUUAGAAAUACUAGAAUAUUCAAAUUCCUGGCCGUAACAUUCGAUGAAGAGCUAAACUUUGAAGACUAUCUAUUGGAAAUUUAAAGGAAGACCAAUAAAGUAAUCCAAAGAAUGAGAUACGUGAAUAGAGUAAAUUGGGGUAUGGAUGUAAAUACGGCACUAAUAAUAUAUAAGAGUUAUGUAAGAGCUACCAUGGAAUAUGCAAUAAAUAUUGUAUACCCCAGACUACAGAAAGAUAGAAAAAUAGAAAAGUUACAGAAUAAAGCAUUAAGAAUUGCCAUGAGAUAUAGGAACAGUACUCCCAUAAAUGUAAUGCUGGCUGAAUCUAAAUUAAUAUAAAUGGUAGAGAGGGCAGAACUUCUAGCAAGAAAUUACUAUACUAAAAUAUGUAAUUACCAAAACAGAGACUUAAAAAACUUACUCAAUAGACUAUACAUAAUCAUCGCCAGAAAUAGAUUUAGAACUAUAACCAAAAAAAGAUUUUUAUUCUUGGAUAGUGGGAGAAGUCAAGAAUCAUAAGGAUAAAUUUCAGGAAAAAAGACACCUCCCAAUCUUUGAUUGUGACUACUGGGCUCUAACUAACAAGACAAUAAUAGAUCUUGAAAUAGGAAAGAAGAAAAAGAAGACCACUGAUAUGUCGGAUGAUACCAUCAUGAACAAAUUUAAAAACAAAUACAACCUGAAUCAAAACUUUCAGAUUAUAUUUACGGUCGGUUCUAAAAAGGAAAAUGGAAAAAGCACGGGGGUGGCCAUAGUACUAGAUAACAUGGAAACUGUGUAUACAAUAAGCAUAUAUGACCACUGUUCAAUAUACACAGCAGAGAUGCUGGCCAUAGAAAAAGUUCUAUGGCCAUAGACUUAGAAAUCAAAAAGGACCUACUUAUUCUGUCAGAUUCACAUAGCGCUUGUGAAGAACUAGCCAACCUUCUUAACGGUCAUAAACACGAAUACGCAGUAAAACUUAAAGAAAAGAUACAAAAGUAUAGAGAAGACGGGAGAAAUAUCAGGUUAUCAUUGGCUGGAUACCUAGCCACAAAGGUAUAAAAGGAAAUGAGUUUGCAGACAGUCUAGCAAAAGAAGCUACAAAGGAAAAAACGGAUACAAGAAUAAAAAUUCCAGAAAACGACUGGAAAAAUGUAAAUAGGAUGAAUAUGACCAACAAAACAAAAGAAAAAAUCAUCUCGGAAGCUAACUACAAAGGUAAGCUGUAUUUCAAGAAGUGUAUUACGAAGAAAGUGCUAAACCCUGGUUCAAUAAAAUCAAGGAAGAGAGAGGCUUCAUCAAUAUGAUAAAUAGGUUGAGAGUCAACCAUUACAAUUUAAAUGAAUCUCUGAGUAGGCAAGAAUAUACAAAAAACCCAAGGUGCGACUGUGGAGCCGAAAAUAGAACAUCCAACACGUGGCUUUCCAAUGUAGUAAAUAUGACGAUCUCAGAAACAAUAUGUAUAGACAGUUAACAACCAUCAAGGAAAGAUACCCCUACGAUAUAGAGAUGUGGCCGAGGCAACUCAAGUUAGAGACCUUGAAAAUACUAUGGCUUUUUAUCAAGUAAACGGGCAAAAUGAUAUAAACCUGAUAAUACAGCCUUCAAACGAAAUCAACGAGAAGGAGUAUCUACAUAGCCAUAAAUACGUGGAGGCUGAUGAACACUAAAUACCCAUACAAAAAAAAUUACACGCAAGCUGACGCGUGGCGCGAGCGAGCCACUGGCGACCUACGUGACAUUAUACACAGUGCUAUAAUGUAGAGACCCUUUAAUAAGUGUGCUUUCCAGCAAGACACAGUGUAACACAGUGUCCAUUAGUGUGAGAAAGAACAUAUCAGUGUGUCUCACUCACAUUAGUGGACACUGUGUUACACUGUGUCUUGCAAGAAAGCACACUAACAAUAAGAGUCUAGCCAUCAUACAUAUCGUGUGCUUUCCAGAAGGACACAAUGUAACACAGUGUCCAUUAGUGUGAGAAAGAACAUAUUAGAGUGUGUCUCACUCACCCUAGUGGACACUGUGUUACAUUGUGUAUUUCUGGAAAGCAUAUCAAUAUCUUGAUUUGAAGCAUUGUGAUUGGUCCGCCAUUUUUUUCUUUAAUGGCGUAGUAAUAUUACGUGAUGUCGUCAAGUAUCAGUUGCAUCAGCUUUUCUCAGCAAUUCGUACUGUAUGUGAUCGUACUGUGAUAAAAAGAAAAUAAUAAAAGCAAAAUAUUCUUAAUAAUAAUAUUUUCUACAAGAUAAUUUUUAGAUUGAGAUUAUUAGUAUUUCAGCAACAUGACUGCUUGUACAGCUCCUGACUGUACAAAUUUCAAUAAUAAAGGAUUUAUUAUGAAAAUUUUCCCCCGAGAUCCGACUCGGCAUGCUCAAUGGGCAGCAAAUGUUAGCAAAGAAGACUAAACACCUACAGCCGGAUCAUUUCUGUGUGAAGUUCAUUGCUCACACAAUAUGUAGGAAAAUAAACGAGCUGACGGAAAAAGAAAGCUGAAAGUAAAUGCUGUGCUGACAAUAUUUAGAAGCGAAGCAAAGAUGAUUAAAAGUUACCAUGAAAACAUCAAUGCUUCACUAAAUGACGUGGGUUGUGUUACGAAUGAUUUGUCAUGAGUGCAAAGUGAAAAGGUCGAAAAUGAAAAAGAAAGUAAUAAUUGCAAUGAUGAGGAUGAACUACAAUUGGAAAGUGCUGAACGUAAAAAGGAUAAUAGAGAACUUAAAAACAUGUCACGUAUAAUAAAAAAGCAAACAAAUUAUAUGUGGGCAAGCACGUAUAAUUAAAAAUCAGAAUGUCAAAGUAGUAAAAUAUAAAAAAUGCGUGCUUAUUGCACGACGUGACUUAAAGGCAUUAAAAUUGAAAAUAAAACAAAAUAUUGUUGCGAGUGUGUUCUCGUGCACGUGAGCGCGAGCUUUAGGCUGAAAUCACAUGGUGCGGAAUAGAGCUGCGGAAUAGAAAGUGCGUCAUAGAAGCAACCGAGCUAUUCCGCAUUUUCUGUUCCGCAAAUGUUUGACCGGCCUGUUCCCAUGGUGCGUCAUAGACGGGCAAUGAUGCAUCCGGAAUGAAAAUUAUAGAUGUAAUACAACUUUUAAAAUAAAUCAAACGUUUUUAUAAAAUGUAAUAUUUGUAAUAGCAAUAAUAAUCAUUAAUAUAAUAUUAUAUGAAAUUUUGUAUUGAAUAUUAAAAAGUUGAAAAUAAUAUUUUUAAAUUUUUGAACUGCAUUGACGCAUUCUUGGUCAUUUUUUCUGCACUAUGUGAACAGGCCGGUCAAAGAUUUGCGGAAUGCGUGAUGCGUGAUGUAGCCUUGGUCGUACACCAUGCAAUAUUGUUAACCUUUUUUGCUAAAACUUUGUUUUUGUCAGAAAAUAGUAAAGGUUAUGAAUAUGGAAAAUAAAAUAGUGAUGAUUCAAGAGUCUAUUAAAGUUUUAAUGAGAGUAUACAUGAGAAGAACUCCAAUGCUCCGGUAUCAAAAGGAAAAAAUCAGAUUUGCUUUAGUAAAAUUAUGGCUAUUAUAUACAAAAUUGUCAAAGCAGAAAUCCAAGAGAAGGAUGUGGGUCAGGCCUAUUUAUUCAAUUGAGCAGCGUUUCUCUCAAGGAGAUAGUGACAAUUUAGUUAAUAUGUUACGAAUGACAGAUCCUUCUCUAUAUUUUAAUUAUUUAAGAAUGGAUGUUAGCAUCUUUGAAGAUCUACUAUUAAUAGUAGGUCCCGGAAUUGAAAAACAAUUAAAUAUUAGAGAACCAAUUGCUUCAUACACAAGACUGCAAAUAUGCUUAAGGUAUUUAGCAAGUGGAGAUAGCAUGAAGUCUAUUGGAUAUGCUUUUCGAGUCGCACCAAAUACUGUCUCAAAAAUAAUUCAUUCAACUGUUACUUGGUUAUGGCUACAAUUGCAACGAAUUCUAUGACGCUAUGACGCAACGACGCCAAUGACGCGAACGCUUGCAAAAAAGGUUAUAGACACUGCGGCAAAGCUCUGAUUGGCUGCGUCUAUGACGCACGUUUUAUUCCGCAGCUCUAUUCCGCACCAUGUGAUUUCAACCUUAGUCUGCGCUCCGGAAAAAUCAAUAGUAUCGAUUGCCUCGGUCAGCUGAGCUUAGAGUAAACAGCGUUGCCGAGGAGUUGUAAACAAAUGAAUGGUUGUUGUUCUAGAGACGUCGUCUCGUGUGGACGUAUUCUGAAUAUUUGUAAACGUGUUCGCAGUUUUAAUAAAGUUCCUUGUUUGCCAAAAGCGUGUUUUUAUUCCGCCGCGCUCACGUAUGGAAGUGAAGGUGUCGCGGAAGCGUUCAAGCGCAACAAUAUUAAUGCAGCUCUGUUAAACAAGCUACAAGAAACUUCACUAACGAUCAAAUUAACAGCUUUAAAAAAACAAUAGAAGAGUACAGAAGUGGACCAACGAAACAAUUAUAAAAGCACUUUGAUUAAGAUUUUCUUGUGGCAUUACCGAUUAUGAAGAACUCCGUCGCCAGAAAUUUCCUUUGCCAGGACUUCAAACAUUGAAAAGAAAAUUGGAAAAUUUUAAAUUUGAAAGCGGAAUUUCAGACAAUAUUCAAAUUUUUUAAACUGAAGGUAUCAAAUUGAAACAAAAUUGAUAAAGAAUAUUGUCUAGUAUUCGAUGAAAUCAGCAUUUCAUCAGGGAAUAUUUUCGAUAAUUCCUCUCAAAGUUACAUUGGUAAUGUAACUUUGCCAGGACACACAGAGCCAAAUCAAUUGAUCUCACCGUAAAUUUGAUUACUUCCGAUAUGGGAUCUGGCAAUCAGGCUUUGUAGAAAACAUUAGGGAUAACAGCAGGAAGACAUCCCAGAAUAGUAAAUUACAUCACACAUCUAUGUGACAUUAAUCAUAAUUUGUAUGUUAUCGCGGAUGUACCGCACCUACUAAAAAUUUGAAAGCAUGUCUUCUAAAUAAGUUCCUCAUGAUACUUAAAAAUAUUGUACGUAAAUAUAAUUUGCACAACAAAUAUAAUACAAGCAAAACAUUUCGAAGAAUUAAUUUUAACGCAAAAAGAAUUUCAGUUUUUAUUAACGCCAAAUUAAGUAUAAGCGAUAUCGAUACUAAUAAUAAUUUUGCUAAAAUGCGUGUCAAUAAAAUGAAAAAUUUAUUGAGUGAGCACUGCUUUGGAGCUUUUAGCCGAUGAAAAUUCAGCACCAGAAUACAUUACUACAGCAUUUUUUAUCAAAAUAAUAGUAAAAUGUUAUACGGUUAUGACUUUAAAGCACUGCAGCAUUUCUUUGAGUACAAAAGAUUUGGCGAAAUAUAAAAAUACUGUUUCUUUUUUAAAUAAAGUUAUAGACAUAUUUACUAAUCUUCAUGAUGGUAACAAAGGAGAUUUUAACCUGUUCAAAAAAGAGUGAUUAUUUUAACUAAAUCUAUUUUAGAAUUGGCAGAUUAUCUCUUUCGUGAAAGAAAAUUUCAAUUCUUAUUGAUAGGUAGACUUAUGCCAGACUGUGUAGAGAAUCUUUUUUCUGUUUUUCGAAUCAAAAAUGUUACUUUAAAUGCUUUACAAUUUAAGAAUAAUCUUAAAUUAAUUGCCAUUUCUUUGUAUAUGCGUUCAGUUUCUCGAGGUAAUUACAAAGAAGACGAUGCGCAAUAUGUAACAGGUUUAUUAGAUGUAAUUGGCGAACAUAAAUCUGAGUUUCGUAAUAAAUAUAGCCCGGAUUUUCCAACGGCCGUUGGGCAAAUCUGAGUCGACCGUAGUACGUUCCUCACGGCUCUCCCUACUUCGACCGUAGGCGGGAGCGCACCAUCGCUCCCCACCAUCACGCGCUUCCGCCCGCUCCUCUCCGACUCGAACGCGUAAAGUGGGAAGAGCUAGCUACGGUCGACGCGAUUUCAGAACUUUAAUCCGGGCUCUAGUAAUGAAUGAAAUGCUGAUCUGUCGUACCUGCAGAUCUUUCCGUCUGAGCCUGCAGCUCAGAAAGAAUUAAACUUUAUAAAAGAAUUGAACUCUAUAGAAAGUAAUUUUUUAUAUAGUAUCGCAGAAUACAUUGUAACAAGCAUUUAAAAAAUACUAAACUAUGUCAGCAUUGCAUUCAAAGUGUAGGUUCCACACAUCGAAAUUUGUCAAAACAUGCGAGAUGAGUUUGAUUGCGAAGUUAUAAAGACAAUACUCUUUUUUUUGUAAACAAUGAAGCAUUUGAAUUAUUUAAAAAAAUGGAGUAUAUAUUUAGGCAGCAUCAAAAAUCUACAUGCAAUAACAAUAGCGGUUAUAACAACCUUUUAGUUGAUAAAUUUUGAAAUAUUUUAAGCAAUAGUUAUAUUUUGUUCUGUCAUAAUUUAUAUAGAAAAAUAGCAAAUAGAUAUGCAAUUUAUAGAAUGAGGACCGCAAACAGAAAAAAAGAUUAUUAAACGUAAAUACGACAAAUCGAUGGCAAUGCAUAGUGCAAUAAAAUAACACAAAUUGUGAAAAUUUUAUUUAAUUUUCUACUUAAUCAUCGAAUGGUUAAACUUUUUACGUUACACUUGUCUUUCGCUACUAUUUACACGUUAUACAUUGUACACUAGAUAUUAAAAAAUAAUGUUAUUAAUAAAAA